CCCUUAGAUGUCCUGGGCCGCACGCGCGUUACACUGAUGCAUUCAACGAGCUUAUAACCUUGGCCGAGAGGCCUGGGCAAUCUAGUUAACGUGCAUCGUGAUAGGGAUAGAUUAUUGAAAUUAUUAAUCUUGAACGAGGAAUUCCUAGUAAACGCAGAUCAUCAAUCUGCAUUGAUUACGUCCCUGCCCUUUGUACACACCGCCCGUCGCACCUACCGAUUGGAUGGUCCGGUGAAGCCUCGGGAUUGUGGUUCUUGCCGCUUUAUUGUGGCGUGACCGCGAGAACUUGUCUAAACCUUAUCAUCUAGAGGAAGGUGAAGUCGUAACA
This 328-nucleotide ribosomal RNA is filed under the name uncultured eukaryote. Its description in RNAcentral is "partial 18S ribosomal RNA". It matches the Rfam family "Eukaryotic small subunit ribosomal RNA", at positions 1470 to 1796 of the family's 1831-position model. The record is from RNAcentral.